This 254-nucleotide ribosomal RNA is filed under the name uncultured bacterium. Its description in RNAcentral is "partial 16S ribosomal RNA". It matches the Rfam family "Bacterial small subunit ribosomal RNA", at positions 524 to 776 of the family's 1533-position model. The record is from RNAcentral.
UACGGGGGGAGCAAGCGUUGUUCGGAUUUACUGGGCGUAAAGGGCGCGUAGGCGGCCAGCACAAGUCAGUUGUGAAAUCUCCGAGCUUAACUCGGAAAGGUCAACUGAUACUGUGCGGCUAGAGUGCAGAAGGGGCAACUGGAAUUCUUGGUGUAGCGGUGAAAUGCGUAGAUAUCAAGAGGACCACCUGCGGCGAAGGCGGGUUGCUGGGCUGACACUGACGCUGAGGCGCGAAAGCUAGGGGAGCGAACGGG